GAUCCUGCCAGUGGUAUAUGCUUGUUUCAAAGACUAAGCCAUGCAUGUCUAAGUCCAAGCCCGGUGGCUUAUGUCACACUCGGGCGAAACCGCGGACGGCUCAUUAAAUCAGUCGUGGUCCAAAUGGGUCAGUACAACGAGAUUUAUCUCGUUGCAAACUUGGAUAACUGUGGUAAUUCUAGAGCUAAUACAUGCACCCGAAUGUCUUGGUUCCUUCGCGGGAACAAAGACUGCUUUUAUUAGUACCUUGGCAGGCCUUGUGCCUUGCUCUAAUGGUGACUCUGGAUAUCAAACCAACGGUCGACGGGGUCUGUGGUCUCUCUCACGGGGGGCCGCGCCUCGUCGACCCGAGACGAGCGAUCUCUGUUCCUUUACGGGCUCGGAGACGCCGCCACUUUCGAGUGACUGCCUUAUCAGCUGUUGAUUGCUCGGUACAUGCGAGCGACUGGCUUUGACGGGUAACGGGGAAUCAGAAUUCGAUUCCGGAGAGGGAGCCUGAGAAACGGCUACCACGUCCAAGGACAGGCAGCAGGCGCGCAAAUUACCCAAUGCCAGGAAAUUCCUGGGUGAGGUAGUGACGAAGUCUAACGCUGUUGUGACCCAUACAAGGGUCUCACGAGCGGAAUGAGCACUCACGGGGAGGCGUGCUCUCACGGGUGCGUCUUCCCGGUCUGUAAAAACUCUGGUCGAGAACCUACUGAAGGGCAAGUCUGGUGCCAGCAGCCGCG
RNAcentral lists this ribosomal RNA (728 nucleotides) under Pontogeneia rostrata. Its description in RNAcentral is "partial 18S ribosomal RNA". It matches the Rfam family "Eukaryotic small subunit ribosomal RNA", at positions 10 to 578 of the family's 1831-position model. The record is from RNAcentral. Lineage: Eukaryota; Metazoa; Arthropoda; Malacostraca; Amphipoda; Pontogeneiidae.